Cyprinus carpio (common carp) is the source of this 1064-nucleotide long non-coding RNA. Lineage: Eukaryota; Metazoa; Chordata; Actinopteri; Cypriniformes; Cyprinidae. The record is from Ensembl.
AUAGGUUAUAUGAACUUAAGUUUAAUGACAUUUGGUAGCAUUCAAAAAGUACAUUAACAAAUAAGCUUUUAAUGAUUGUGUAAUUUCUGUUCAAAAUUAUUUGUAUAUUUGAUAGUUUAAUGACAUUUGUAAGCAUUAAUUUAUGAUCCGUUAAGCAUUAUAUGUUUGUUAAUGAUUUAUUAAUGAAGCUCUAAAUCAUUAUAGUUUGACAGAUGAUUUACAGAGUACACGAUCAUAUGAACUGAAACUUUAAUGACAUAAUAACAAGUGCAUUAGUAAACAUUAAAAAGCAUAUAUUUCUAGCUAUAACAAACAUUUAUAUAAUGCUUAACAGAUCUUUAGUUAAUGUAUAUUCACAUACAUUAACUAAAGAUCUGUUAAGCAUUAUAUAAAUGUUUGUUAUUGAUUUAUUAAGGAAAGUUAUUAUAAAGUGUUACCAAACUUAUUCAUUAGUUGCUAAUGUGUGUCUGAAAUGAAAACAAUUAUCUCAUUGUUACACACUGUAGGUUUGUGGAUGGUCUGGGAUGCUUAGGGUUGCAUGCUGCAAUGAAGGCAAAUCUGAAACAUAUUCGGUAUCUGUUCCUGGCCAAAGAGGACCCGCUGACUGCCCAGGACCUUAUUGAUGUAUUCAGCCCACACUUUGCAGAGGAGGGAAGCAAUCACAGACGCAGUGAAAUAAGAACAUAUGCCUGGUUCCGUGACUUCUUGCUAGAUGUGGAAGGUGGAGAAAUGCAAGUGGACCAAAGUAAAUGCCUUACUCUGCGAGAGGUUCUUGCCUUUGCUUCUGGGCUGGAGGAGUUGCCCCCACUGGGAUUCAAAAACCAGCCAGUCAUUAAAUUCAUACAUACUGACCGCAAAUUCCCUGAAGCCAACACAUGUGAUGUAGUCCUCCGCCUACCAGUACACAGGAGCUAUGAGGAGUUCAGCAACCACAUGUGCAGUGGGAUUUUGCAGGCCACAGAGUUUGGAAUGGCAUAAAAGUCAUGUUCUUUGUGUUGUUUUGUUUGUUCUAUCAGAUUCUAAUCAAACUGAAGUCAUUCAAAUAAAGAAAUAUUCCCAACCCA